CACGCAUAUUUUGCUCCCACAUGGCAUUGAUAGGUCGAAAAAUGUUUCAUUUAUUUAAAAAAUAUAUAUAAAUUAAAUCUAAAAUGAUGAUAAAACAUGGAGAGAGGUUAUAAAUACAAAUAUCAAAAUCCACUUUUGUUUUCCAGUACACAGUACGUCUGAAGAGCAUCAUUCACUAGAGGGGAGAGUGGAAAGAGCUGACUCAGCAUCAUUCACUAGAGGGGAGAGUGGAAAGAGCUGACUCAGCAUCAUUCACUAGAGGGGAGAGUGGAAAGAGCUGACUCAGCAUCAUUCACUAGAGGGGAGAGUGGAAAGAGCUGACUCAGCAUCAUUCACUAGAGGGGAGAGUGGAAAGAGCUGACUCAGCACCAUGUACACAUGUGGUGCAGUGCUACACUACCACCCUGCUAUGGUAUGUACACUGCAGACCACUCUCCAAGAUCUACAGAUCUAUUCACAUUUAGUGUGUGUGUGUGUAUAUAUAUAUAUAUAUUCCAUUUCCAUUUCCAUUCUUGAUUUCACAUUGCCUGAAUGAACUGUCCCCCUCCCCCUCGUCUCUUCACUGUAGCUCUCAGCCCCAUCAGUGCUCCACUUUGCCCCCUGCAGGUGGAAGGGAGUAAAGGAUCUGUCCAUAUAUAGUCACAGUGUCCUAGAGAAGGAGUGCCGAUCUAGGAUGUGUCCAUAUAUGGUCACAGUGUCCUAGAGAAGGAGUGCCGAUCUAGGAUGUGUCCAUAUAUGGUCACAGUGUCCUAGAGAAGGAGUGCCGAUCUAGGAUCUGUCCAUAUAUGGUCAGUGUCCUAGAGAAGGAGUCCGGAUCUAGGAUCUGUUCAUACAAUCUUAUUCGUUAUGAUGUAAAAUUCUAAACUGAUGCCAGUUCCCCGUCAGUCUACCUGUCCUAUCCUAACCACUGUCUCACGUGUCAGUCUACCUGUCCUAUCCUAACCACUGUCUCACGUGUCAGUCUACCUGUCCUAUCCUAACCACUGUCUCACGUGUCAGUCUACCUGUCCUAUCCUAACCACUGUCUCACGUGUCAGUCUACCUGUCCUAUCCUAACCACUG
Long non-coding RNA from Oncorhynchus tshawytscha (Chinook salmon), 1062 nucleotides. Lineage: Eukaryota; Metazoa; Chordata; Actinopteri; Salmoniformes; Salmonidae. The record is from Ensembl.